RNAcentral lists this ribosomal RNA (497 nucleotides) under uncultured bacterium. RNAcentral describes it as "partial 16S ribosomal RNA". It matches the Rfam family "Bacterial small subunit ribosomal RNA", at positions 28 to 507 of the family's 1533-position model. The record is from RNAcentral.
GAUGAACGCUGGCGGCGUGCCUAAUACAUGCAAGUCGAGCGAACGGACGAGAAGCUUGCUUUUCUGAUGUUAGCGGCGGAAGGGUGAGUAACACGUGGAUAACCUACCUAUAAGACUGGGAUAACUUCGGGAAACCGGAGCUAAUACCGGAUAAUAUUUUGAACCGCAUGGUUCAAAAGUGAAAGACGGUCUUGCUGGCACUUAUAGAUGGAUCCGCGCUGCAUUAGCUAGUUGGUAAGGUAACGGCUUACCAAGGCAACGAUGCAUAGCCGACCUGAGCGGGUGGUCGGCGGCACUGGAACUGAGACACGGUCAGGACUCCUACGGGAGGCAGCAGUAGGCAACCUUCGGCAAUAGUGGAAAAUGUGACAGAGCAAGGCGGCGCGAGUGAUGGAGGUGUUCGGAUCGUAACGCGCUGUUAUUAGGUAUGAACAUAUGUGUAAGUUGCCGUUGAGAGUGUGACGGUAACGGGUCAGAAAGCCACGGCUAACUACGUG